GAAUAUCACACGCCAUUGAUGAUA
Molecule: non-coding RNA, 24 nt
Filed under: Arabidopsis thaliana (thale cress)
Lineage: Eukaryota; Viridiplantae; Streptophyta; Magnoliopsida; Brassicales; Brassicaceae
Source: RNAcentral